This is a long non-coding RNA of Camelina sativa (false flax), 667 nucleotides long. RefSeq lists it as uncharacterized. Lineage: Eukaryota; Viridiplantae; Streptophyta; Magnoliopsida; Brassicales; Brassicaceae. The record is from RefSeq and is a predicted model, not a curated record.
UUGUUGCGUCCUUCAAAGCAAGUGUGUCUCUGCUUCUUUCUUCUAUUCUCUGUGACGAACCCUAGCUCUCAGGAUCUAAGGAACUUUGUUUACUUGUGAACAUUAUUAGAACCCAUCACGUAGGAUUUUUUUUCAAGGUUUCAGAGGUUAACACAAGCCUUUUUGUCAGCCAGCAUGUUAUCUCUUUCCAAGUUGUUUCAGAGAGUCCGAACUGAAUUGAGUGCUGCUGCUUCAACUGGGAGUACUACUAGGAAGAAACUCAUUGUUAAAUCAUUCCUCCCGCCAAGCACAGUUCAACAAGUGAUAUAUGACAUGGAGAAAUUUUUUGUUCCGACAGACUCAGUGACCCUACCCAAGGAGGUCCACAUGGAGAAAUCUUUUGUUCGGACAGACUCGAUGACCUUACGCGAGGAGGUCCAGUAUGCAAGUUCUGUUCUCGAACAUAUAUUGGAGGACAGAGAUGCAGUUACUCGAAAGGCACGUCAAGCAUUGGCUGAGCUUGACAAAGCAGCCGACGAGGAAAGAAUUAGUUUAAAUGCAUGGUUUCCUUGAAACAAUUAGUUGUUUGUGCUUGUUUAAGUUUAACCCUGCCACCGUGGAAUUUAUGUUUGAACUUUGUAGUAUGUGGUUGCUAGUACAAUUUAAAUUUGGUGUAUGUUUUGAAAAA